Molecule: ribosomal RNA, 446 nt
Filed under: uncultured bacterium
Lineage: Bacteria
Description: partial 16S ribosomal RNA
Rfam family: Bacterial small subunit ribosomal RNA
Source: RNAcentral
UGGGGAAUAUUGGACAAUGGGCGAAAGCCUGAUCCAGCCAUGCCGCGUGUGUGAAGAAGGUCUUCGGAUUGUAAAGCACUUUAAGUUGGGAGGAAGGGCAGUAAAUUAAUACUUUGCUGUUUUGACGUUACCGACAGAAUAAGCACCGGCUAACUCUGUGCCAGCAGCCGCGGUAAUACAGAGGGUGCAAGCGUUAAUCGGAAUUACUGGGCGUAAAGCGCGCGUAGGUGGUUCGUUAAGUUGGAUGUGAAAUCCCCGGGCUCAACCUGGGAACUGCAUUCAAAACUGACGAGCUANAGUAUGGUAGAGGGUGGUGGAAUUUCCUGUGUAGCGGUGAAAUGCGUAGAUAUAGGAAGGAACACCAGUGGCGAAGGCGACCACCUGGACUGAUACUGACACUGAGGUGCGGAAGCGUGGGGAGCAAACAGGAUUAGAUAGCCCUGGUA